CAGAUAGUUUAUUUCAUUGAGCUGACAGUUCCUUGGGAAGACUCAGUGGAAGAGGCCUAUGAAAGAAAAAAGCUUAGAUAUGCAGACUUAGGAGCAGAAGCUGAGCAGCGAGGAUGGAAGACUAGGAUUUGUCCAGUGGAAGUGGGGUGUAGGGGAUUCAUAGCAAGAUCAGCUGUCUCGCUCCUGGGGGAACUCGGAGUGCGGGGACAGAGUUUGAGGAAGACAGUGAGGGAAAUGUCAGAUGAAGCAAUUAAAUGUAGCCAGUUUAUCUAUAAGAGAAGAAAAAAUGUUGGGGGCCAGCAGGGGGAACUACUAAACAGGGCACAUAACUCCUUGAGAUCAGGUGGAGAGAUCCACUUCCUCUCAGGAGGAAAUCCAGGAAGAGGAAGUAUUUAAGUGUGGGAGUGGCCUAUUUGAAUCCAUUUUGUUUGAGGCCAUGCGGCAAGGUGUGGAGGAAAAUUAAGUGGUCUGCAGAGUUUUUUUUUUCUACUUGUCGAGAAGUCAUGAACAUCUGGCUUAAUGGGAGCUGCUCUGACCAUGUGAUUAACGACGUGACACUGAUGGAUACAUGCGCACAAGGACACAUUUUUCCUUUUUUGUCUUGAAGCUUAAAAUACCACCUGUGUUUGUUUCACAGGUUUUUAUGGCUCUGUCAGCUUAAAAAUGACAUUUACUGGACUCACUGUUGUCAGAGUUUCAAAACAAAGCAGGAUGCUUCAGAUGUCCACUUGACCUGGAUUGCAAAUACUCACAGGGAGACCACAGUAUGUCAGGCUGAGAGACUGCUGCUCUGAGACUGUGGUCAGCAACACUGGCACACCGCAGGGGACCGUGCUCUCCCCUGUCUUGUUUACCCUUUUUAGUACAACUCUGAGUCAUGCCACGUGCAGAAGUUCUCAGAUGACACUGCAAUCGUGGGGUGUAUUAGAAGUGGACAAGAGGGCAAGUACAGGAGACUGACGGAGGACUUCAUGAAAUGGUACAGGUCAAACUGUCUACAGCUGAACACCUUCAAGACCAAAGAGAUGGUGGUGGAUUUCUGGAGGACCAGACGCCAUCUGCAAUUGGUUUUGAUC
This is a long non-coding RNA of Epinephelus fuscoguttatus (brown-marbled grouper), 1076 nucleotides long. RefSeq lists it as uncharacterized. The record is from RefSeq and is a predicted model, not a curated record. Lineage: Eukaryota; Metazoa; Chordata; Actinopteri; Perciformes; Serranidae. The transcript has 3 exons.